AUGAACGCUGGCGGCGUGCUUAACACAUGCAAGUCGAACGGAAAGGCCCAAGCUUGCUUGGGUACUCGAGUGGCGAACGGGUGAGUAACACGUGGGUGAUCUGCCCUGCACUUCGGGAUAAGCCUGGGAAACUGGGUCUAAUACCGGAUAGGACGAUGGUUUGGAUGCCAUUGUGGAAAGUUUUUUCGGUGUGGGAUGAGCUCGCGGCCUAUCAGCUUGUUGGUGGGGUAAUGGCCUACCAAGGCGUCGACGGGUAGCCGGCCUGAGAGGGUGUACGGCCACAUUGGGACUGAGAUACGGCCCAGACUCCUACGGGAGGCAGCAGUGGGGAAUAUUGCACAAUGGGCGCAAGCCUGAUGCAGCGACGCCGCGUGGGGGAUGACGGCCUUCGGGUUGUAAACUCCUUUUGCUAGGGACGAAGCGUUUUUGUGACGGUACCUGGAGAAGAAGCACCGGCUAACUACGUG
Molecule: ribosomal RNA, 467 nt
Filed under: uncultured bacterium
Lineage: Bacteria
Description: partial 16S ribosomal RNA
Rfam family: Bacterial small subunit ribosomal RNA
Source: RNAcentral